AGGGUUUGAUCCUGGCUCAGAAUCAACGCUGGCGGCGUGCCUAACACAUGCAAGUCGAACGCGAAAGGGGCUUCGGCCCUGAGUAGAGUGGCGAACGGGUGAGUAACGCGUGGGUGACCUACCUUCGAGUGGGGGAUAACGUUCCGAAAGGAGCGCUAAUACCGCAUGAAGUUCCGGGGUUGAAUACCUGGAAACCAAAGCCGGGGACCGUAAGGCCUGGCGCUUGGAGAGGGGCCCGCGUCUGAUUAGCUAGUUGGCGGGGUAAUGGCCCACCAAGGCGACGAUCAGUAGCCGGCCUGAGAGGGCGGACGGCCUCACUGGGACUGAGACACGGCCCAGACUCCUACGGGAGGCAGCAGUGGGGAAUUGUUCGCAAUGGGCGCAAGCCUGACGACGCAACGCCGCGUGGGGGAUGAAGGUCUUCGGAUUGUAAACCCCUGUCGAGCGGGACGAAUGGCCCGCGACCUAACACGUCGUGGGAGUGACGGUACCGCUAAAGGAAGCCACGGCUAACUCUGUGCCAGCAGCCGCGGUAAUACAGAGGUGGCAAGCGUUGUUCGGAAUUACUGGGCGUAAAGGGCGCGUAGGCGGCCUUCUAAGUCAGACGUGAAAUCCCCCGGCUUAACCUGGGAACUGCGUCUGAUACUGGGAGGCUUGAGUGCGGAGAGGGAUGCGGAAUUCCAGGUGUAGCGGUGAAAUGCGUAGAUAUCUGGAGGAACACCGGUGGCGAAGGCGGCAUCCUGGACCGACACUGACGC
This 758-nucleotide ribosomal RNA is filed under the name uncultured bacterium. RNAcentral describes it as "bacterial SSU rRNA". It matches the Rfam family "Bacterial small subunit ribosomal RNA", at positions 8 to 746 of the family's 1533-position model. The record is from RNAcentral.